This 1872-nucleotide ribosomal RNA is filed under the name Campylobacter coli. Its description in RNAcentral is "partial 23S ribosomal RNA". It matches the Rfam family "Bacterial large subunit ribosomal RNA", at positions 1 to 1737 of the family's 2925-position model. The record is from RNAcentral. Lineage: Bacteria; Pseudomonadati; Campylobacterota; Epsilonproteobacteria; Campylobacterales; Campylobacteraceae.
AAAAAAGGUAAGCUACUAAGAGCGAAUGGUGGAUGCCUUGACUGGUAAAGGCGAUGAAGGACGUACUAGACUGCGAUAAGCUACGGGGAGCUGUCAAGAAGCUUUGAUCCGUAGAUUUCCGAAUGGGGCAACCCAAUGUAUAGAGAUAUACAUUACCUAUAUAGGAGCGAACGAGGGGAAUUGAAACAUCUUAGUACCCUCAGGAAAAGAAAUCAAUAGAGAUUGCGUCAGUAGCGGCGAGCGAAAGCGCAAGAGGGCAAACCCAGUGCUUGCACUGGGGGUUGUAGGACUGCAAUGUGCAAGAGGUGAGUUUAGCAGAACAUUCUGGAAAGUAUAGCCAUAGAGGGUGAUAGUCCCGUAUGCGAAAAACAAACCUUAGCUAGCAGUAUCCUGAGUAGGGCGGGACACGAGAAAUCCUGUCUGAAGCUGGGUCGACCACGAUCCAACCCUAAAUACUAAUACCAGAUCGAUAGUGCACAAGUACCGUGAGGGAAAGGUGAAAAGAACUGAGGUGAUCAGAGUGAAAUAGAACCUGAAACCAUUUGCUUACAAUCAUUCAGAGCCCUAUGUAGCAAUACAGGGUGAUGGACUGCCUUUUGCAUAAUGAGCCUGCGAGUUGUGGUGUCUGGCAAGGUUAAGCAAACGCGAAGCCGUAGCGAAAGCGAGUCUGAAUAGGGCGCUUAGUCAGAUGCUGCAGACCCGAAACGAAGUGAUCUAUCCAUGAGCAAGUUGAAGCUAGUGUAAGAACUAGUGGAGGACUGAACCCAUAGGCGUUGAAAAGCCCCGGGAUGACUUGUGGAUAGGGGUGAAAGGCCAAUCAAACUUCGUGAUAGCUGGUUCUCUCCGAAAUAUAUUUAGGUAUAGCGUUGUGUCGUAAUAUAAGGGGGUAGAGCACUGAAUGGGCUAGGGCAUACACCAAUGUACCAAACCCUAUCAAACUCCGAAUACCUUAUAUGUAAUCACAGCAGUCAGGCGGCGAGUGAUAAAAUCCGUCGUCAAGAGGGAAACAACCCAGACUACCAGCUAAGGUCCCUAAAUCUUACUUAAGUGGAAAACGAUGUGAAGUUACUUAAACAACCAGGAGGUUGGCUUAGAAGCAGCCAUCCUUUAAAGAAAGCGUAAUAGCUCACUGGUCUAGUGAUUUUGCGCGGAAAAUAUAACGGGGCUAAAGUAAGUACCGAAGCUGUAGACUUGCGCACAACUUAGAUUAUUUAAGUUUAGAAUAUGAGAAACUAAGUUAUAUGUUUAGUUAUAUUUUUACUGAUUUUUAUAGAGUAAAGAUAGAAAUAAAACUUAGUAAAAUCAGUAAAAAUAUUCUUAGACUAAAGUUAAGUAGUUUAAGUUGUGUGCAAGUGGUAGGAGAGCGUUCUAUUUGCGUCGAAGGUAUACCGGUAAGGAGUGCUGGAGCGAAUAGAAGUGAGCAUGCAGGCAUGAGUAGCGAUAAUUAAUGUGAGAAUCAUUAACGCCGUAAACCCAAGGUUUCCUACGCGAUGCUCGUCAUCGUAGGGUUAGUCGGGUCCUAAGUCGAGUCCGAAAGGGGUAGACGAUGGCAAAUUGGUUAAUAUUCCAAUACCAACAUUAGUGUGCGAUGGAAGGACGCUUAGGGCUAAGGGGGCUAGCGGAUGGAAGUGCUAGUCUAAGGUCGUAGGAGGUUAUACAGGCAAAUCCGUAUAACAAUACUCCGAGAACUGAAAGGCUUUUUGAAGUCUUCGGAUGGAUAGAAGAACCCCUGAUGCCGUCGAGCCAAGAAAAGUUUCUAAGUUUAGCUAAUGUUGCCCGUACCGUAAACCGACACAGGUGGGUGGGAUGAGUAUUCUAAGGCGCGUGGAAGAACUCUCUUUAAGGAACUCUGCAAAAUAGCACCGUAUCUUC